Long non-coding RNA from Bubalus bubalis (water buffalo), 365 nucleotides. RefSeq lists it as uncharacterized. The transcript is spliced from 3 exons. NCBI's taxonomy places the organism in Eukaryota, Metazoa, Chordata, Mammalia, Artiodactyla, Bovidae. The record is from RefSeq and is a predicted model, not a curated record.
CAGUGUAGCUUUGGGCAAAGCACUUCACCUCUCUGAACUUCAGUGUCUUCCUGGGGAAAGCAGAGUAAGAACACUUUACCUGCCGUGAGGACUGGGUUUAUGUACAGACAGUCCCUGGCAUGAGGUGACUUCUUCCAGCUCGGCCUGUCCUGGUGUGAACCCCAUGCUGGCCUGACACCCACUCCCAGUCCCCAUAGAAACCAAGUCAAGAGUUCUGAUGGGGGAAGUGAAGCGCCCAGCAUCUGAGGCGAGGCGCAUCCCUGCCUGUGACUCAUCUCCGACUGGAUUGCGGGCAGGCGGGCGGCCGGCAGACUGCAGUUUUCCAGGUUCUGAAGUGGCCGAAUGGUGGGCGGCAAGUCCACGUC